CCAGACUCCUACGGGAGGCAGCAGUGGGGAAUAUUGCACAAUGGGGGAAACCCUGAUGCGGCGACGCCGCGUGAGUGAAGAAGUAUUUCGGUAUGUAAAGCUCUAUCAGCAGGGAAGAAAUAGCGACCUUUGGGUCGCCAGACGGUACCUGAUUAAGAAGCCCCGGCUAACUACGUGCCAGCAGCCGCGGUAAUACGUAGGGGGCAAGCGUUAUCCGGAUUUACUGGGUGUAAAGGGUGCGUAGGCGGACUGUUAAGUCAGGGGUAAAAGCCGGGGCCCCACCCCCGGCGAGCCGUUGAAACUGGCUGUCUUGAGAUGUCGAGAGGUAUGCGGAAUGCGCAGUGUAGCGGUGAAAUGCUUAGAUAUUGCGCAGAACUCCGAUUGCGAAGGCAGCAUACCGGCGGCGAUCUGACGCUGAGGCACGAAAGCGUGGGUAUCGAACAGGAUUAGAUACCCCCGUA
Molecule: ribosomal RNA, 461 nt
Filed under: uncultured bacterium
Lineage: Bacteria
Description: bacterial SSU rRNA
Rfam family: Bacterial small subunit ribosomal RNA
Source: RNAcentral